RNAcentral lists this ribosomal RNA (232 nucleotides) under uncultured bacterium. Its description in RNAcentral is "partial 16S ribosomal RNA". It matches the Rfam family "Bacterial small subunit ribosomal RNA", at positions 15 to 245 of the family's 1533-position model. The record is from RNAcentral.
GAUCUGGCUCAGGAUGAACGCUGGCGGCGUGCAUAACACAUUCAAGUCGAACGGACGACCCGGAGCUUGCUCCGGGAAGUUAGUGGCGGACGGGUGAGUAACGCGUGAGCAACCUGCCUGUGUGAGCGGAAUAACGUCCGGAAACAGACGCUAAUACCGCAUGACUCACGGACUUCGCAUGGAGACCGUGGCAAAGAUUUAUCGCACACAGAUGGGCUCGCGUCCGAUUAGG